This is a non-coding RNA of Misgurnus anguillicaudatus (oriental weatherfish), 707 nucleotides long. The record is from RefSeq and is a predicted model, not a curated record. NCBI's taxonomy places the organism in Eukaryota, Metazoa, Chordata, Actinopteri, Cypriniformes, Cobitidae.
GGACAUGGAUACUGUUUUUUAUAUACAUAUACAUUUUCCAGCUCAGUAAUGUUUUUCUGUGAGCUCACCACAGUGCAUUCUGGGAUAGCCUUCUCCUCAAAGCAACACUAGAUUACAAUUUGACCUAAACAUUUUUAUGUCAGGAGUGCAAUUAUGAUGUCUUAAAGUGCUGUCUUUAUGGACAGAUCAUUAAAUUUCAGAACAGAGCCAAAGUACCCAUGUUUUACCUAAAAUGUUAGUGCUCGAUUAUUCUUUAAAUAACAAUGUUAAUUUGAACGACAGGUUCUGAUUUGCUAAAAAUGAGCAGAGACGACUUCAUUCAAAUCUGUGGGCCUGCUGAUGGAAUCCGUCUUUUUAAUACAAUCGAGGCGAGGUCUCAGCUGCAGAAUAGAUAUCAAUCACAUGCCAAAGGAGGGCGGAUGGAGUCUACCAUGCCCUCUACCUAGAGGACCUUCCUGUGUUUGAGCUUGCUGAGAAGAUAGCCAAUCUAUACAAUGUGCCCUCACAGCAGAUUCAUCAUGUAUACAGACAAGGGCCGACAGGGAUUUACGUUUUGGUUUCGGAUGCGAUGGUGCAAAACUUCACAGAGGAGACCAGCUUCAUAUCAGCACUUUGAAAGAUGAAAGUAAUGAUGGUUACCAUGUUGUACUGAAGUGACCAGCUACUAGAAAAUUAUGAAUCCUAUUAGCUUAUUUUAACAGACUGUG